UAGGUUCUCUGUUUGGUUUUAAGGGAGGCCACAACCAGAAAAUCCUAAGUCUGAACUGCAGAAGCUGUGCCAUCAUUCUGUGCAAAAAACCUUUCCCGAACUCCUCACCUGUAUCAAAGGACUUCCCGCGCCCCACUACUGCGGCAGCACGAUCUUUGCAUUUGCUGGUUCACCCUUUACAUGUGGGCAGUGAACAAUGAAUGGGAACUUUGUUCUUCUAACUGCUGGAGGCCAUGGCCUGUGCUGGCCUGGGGAUUCGAAGGCUCUAAGGUCAUGUGUUCCAGAGUAAAAUGAUCUUCCCACAGCUGGGCCUAAGAGGGCCCAGGCUCGUUUACGACUUCUCCCUCCAACAUUUUCAUCUGCAAACACCCACCUCCCAGUUCAAAAUGUCAGAGGGAAGAUUGUUCUCCUGUGGCUCCUCUUUGGUCCUCCUUAACGCUACCCCAAAGACAAUCAGAGAGGCUUGCUACUCCAUCUCCCUUCCUAAAGCAGGAUCACACCUUAAUGCUCUCAGGAGCAUGACAGGUGUCACCAAAAGAGCCAGGUAGCAAGUUAAGGCAGUCUCACCCUGAGCCGUCCCACCUGUUUUACACCCUGGGCCUCUCUCAAGUCAUGUUUGUCAGGAAGAAAAGUCACAAUAUUUUCGGUAGGAAAAAAAUCCUUGAACAAUAUAUGUAGCAGUAAUACUCUGUUGUACUGUCUUGACUUGUUAUCAUUUACAACUAAGAAUUGGAGACUGGGAGUUCCCAUCGUGGCUCAGUGGUUAACAAAUCCGACUAGGAACCAUGAGGUUGCGGGUUCGAUUCCUGGCCUUGCUCAGUGGGUUAAGGAUUCGGUGUUGCUGUGAGCUGUGCUGUAGGUCGCUGACGUGGCUUGGAUCCUGUGUUGCUGUGGCUGUGGCGUAGGAUGGUGGCUGUAGCUUUGAUUGGACCCCUAGGCUGGGAACUUCCAUAUGCCAAGGGUACAGCCCUAGAAAAGACGGAAAAAAAAAAAAAGAAGAAGAAUUGGAGACUGUUCCAUUUGGAACAGAUGGGCAAUGGGGUCCUGCUGUACAGCACAGGGAACUGCGUAUGACUGGGUCGAUUUGCUGUACAACAGAAACUGAAGAAACACUGUAAAUCAACGACACUUUAAUUUAAAAAAAAGGAAUUAUAAUAAAACUAUAAAAAUUUAAAAAUAAAUUAAUUAAUUCAAUUAAGAGUUAGAGUUCCCAUUGUGGCUCAGUAGGUUAAGAACCCAAUGCUGUCUCCAUGAGGAUGCAGGUUCCAUCCCUGGCCCUCGCUCAGUGAGUUGAGGAUCUGGCAUUACCACAAGUUGCAGCCAGCGUAGGUCAGACACAGCUCAGAUCUGGCAUUGCUGUGGUUGUGGUGUAGGCCUGCAACUGCAGCGUCAGUUCGCCCCUUGCCUGGGAACUUCCAUAUGCCUCGGGUGCAGCUGUAAAGAAAAAAAAAUAAAUUAAUGAAUUAAAUAAAACAAAAUUAAGAAUAGUCAUGAAAACAUUCCUUUGAAGAGAUAUAUCCUCCCCUAUGUUCAUCGCAAUACAAUUUACAUCAGUAAUAAUUUCCAAGAAAUGGAACCAACUUCAGUGUCCAUCAACGGAUGAUGGAUAAAGACGAUGCACAUAGACAUGGAAUUCUCCUCAGCCAUUAAAAAAAAAAGCAAAAAAAAAAAAAAAAAAAAAAAAAA
This 1686-nucleotide long non-coding RNA is filed under the name Sus scrofa (pig). RNAcentral's name for it is "lncRNA (ENSSSCG00015041308.1)". The record is from RNAcentral. Lineage: Eukaryota; Metazoa; Chordata; Mammalia; Artiodactyla; Suidae.